GUGGAUCUCUGUGAGGAAAUGCUGCAGAUCUCCAUGUUGGUGAAGGAGCUGCCGGCGUCGCUGCUGCAUUCUGGGUAGGAGGAGCUGGAGGAGAUGAUGUUCUUCAGCCGGUGGAGAGCGAUGAUGAGGAGGGCAACCUGUGCAUGGAUGGGUUUUUGAGCUGCUGCGGCUGUUGUGAGGCCACCGGUGGUCCAUUAGGACUUUAAACUGGUCACAGAAGUUCGCCGGACUGAAACCCUGUCAUCACAGUCAACUCCUCCCUGCGUCUCAAGUCUGCCGACGUAUGCUACAAGCCACUAGACAAACUGGUAACAGCGGGAUAGCCAUUCAUACAGAGAGAGUCUGGCGGGGACUGGCAUAUGGAUGGAGCUUCAGAUGCAAGCGGUGGGGCAGAGCUAUGCAUGUCAAUAGGACAGAGGCGUCGCUCCUCCUGGGACGGUCUUAUCUCUUCCGCUCGCUGCACUGAAGACACAGAGCACAGAUAAUAGAUGGGUGCUAAGCAGAGCAUGACUGUCUGCCACAGCUCCCUGUCGCUAUCGGUUUGUAUCUUCGAUGGGAAUUGUGUUUUGGUAAUAACGAAUUUUGCGUUCUUAGUCAUUGAUCUUCAUUGAUCCAUUUUGAUCUCUGUGUCUCUUAAAGGGACAGUUCAUAAAAAAAAAAAAGAAUGAAAUAUUGUCAUCAUUUAUUUACCAGCUCGUUGUUCCAAACCUGUAAGAACUGAUUUGUCUGCGCAGAGAAGGUCAUGGCGGUACAAAGUAUUGAUCUUCAUUGGAAGUAAAUUUCAAAAAAUGUUGUGAUGGUGAAAAUGAGAAAACCACACGAGGAAUGUACAAGCAGCUAGAGAACAAACAGAGUUAUGCAGUUAACUUUUACCAGAGCAACUCGAGUCAUGCCAGCUGAGCUUCAGGAAAGUGUGAAACUCCAUCAGACUAUUGGCAGCACACAGCCCUCAGCUAUAAACUGGCAACGACACAGCACAGCAAAUACGAGGGAAAACUGGAAAUUUAUAGCCGUACCUGAGCUGCCGCUGCUGCUGGAUUGUCGGCUGCAGUGCAUCACAAUAAUAGAAUGGCAAGCAUCCAAUUCAAUCUAGCUCUCAGGCACCUCAAAUGUACAUUCAUAUACAGUUGAAGUCAGAAUUGUUAGCCCUCCUGAAUUAUUAAAUAAUUUAUUUAUUUUAUCUUUAAUAUG
Danio rerio (zebrafish) is the source of this 1191-nucleotide non-coding RNA. NCBI's taxonomy places the organism in Eukaryota, Metazoa, Chordata, Actinopteri, Cypriniformes, Danionidae. The record is from RefSeq and is a predicted model, not a curated record.